UGGGAUGUAGCUCAGUGGUUGAGCACUUGCCUGAUAUAUGCAAGGUACUAGGUUCAAUCUCCACCUCAA
RNAcentral lists this transfer RNA (69 nucleotides) under Marmota monax (woodchuck). It matches the Rfam family "tRNA". From Rfam's summary of the family: Transfer RNA (tRNA) molecules are approximately 80 nucleotides in length. Their secondary structure includes four short double-helical elements and three loops (D, anti-codon, and T loops). The record is from Rfam by way of RNAcentral. Lineage: Eukaryota; Metazoa; Chordata; Mammalia; Rodentia; Sciuridae.